UCAAGAUUAAGCCAUGCAUGUCUCAGUGCAAGCCGAAUUAAGGUGAAACCGCGAAUGGCUCAUUAAAUCAGUUAUGGUUCCUUAGAUGAUGCACAGUUACUUGGAUAACUGUGGUAAUUCUAGAGCUAAUACAUGCAACUCGGUCCCGACCGGCGACGGAAGGGACGCUUUUAUUAGAUCAAAACCAAUCGGUCUUCGGGCCGUUUGUCUUGGUGACUCUGAAUAAAUUAUGGCAGAUCGCACGGCCCCCGAGCCGGCGACGCAUCUUUCAAAUGUCUGCCUUAUCAACUGUCGAUGGUAGGUUCUGCGCCUACCAUGGUUGUAACGGGUAACGGGGAAUCAGGGUUCGAUUCCGGAGAGGGAGCCUGAGAAACGGCUACCACAUCCAAGGAAGGCAGCAGGCGCGCAAAUUACCCACUCCCGGCACGGGGAGGUAGUGACGAAAAAUAACGAUACGGGACUCAUCCGAGGCCCCGUAAUCGGAAUGAGUACACUUUAAAUCCUUUAACGAGUAUCCAUUGGAGGGCAAGUCUGGUGCCAGCAGCCGCGGUAAUUCCAGCUCCAAUAGCGUAUAUUAAAGUUGUUGCGGUUAAAAAGCUCGUAGUCGGACUUGUGUCCCACGCUGCCGGUUCACCGCCCGUCGGUGUUUAACUGGCAUGCACGUGCGGACGUCCUGCCGGUGGCCCGAGCCGGCGCGGGUCUCGCACCCGUCGUCCGGGGAAGGCCUAUCAUACCCGUCGCGGUGCUCUUAACCGAGUGUCUCGAUGGGCCGGCACGUUUACUUUGAACAAAUUAGAGUGCUUAAAGCAGGCAGCAUCCGCCUGAAUACCGAGUGCAUGGAAUAAUGGAAUAGGACCUCGGUUCUAUUUUGUUGGUUUUCGGAAUCCCCGAGGUAAUGAUCAAUAGGGACAGACGGGGGCAUUCGUAUUGCGACGUUUAGAGGUGAAAUUCUUGG
RNAcentral lists this ribosomal RNA (955 nucleotides) under Tenodera angustipennis. Its description in RNAcentral is "SSU rRNA". It matches the Rfam family "Eukaryotic small subunit ribosomal RNA", at positions 38 to 923 of the family's 1831-position model. Lineage: Eukaryota; Metazoa; Arthropoda; Insecta; Mantodea; Mantidae. The record is from RNAcentral.